This 137-nucleotide small nucleolar RNA is filed under the name Zea mays. RNAcentral describes it as "Plant small nucleolar RNA U3". It matches the Rfam family "Plant small nucleolar RNA U3". Rfam says of the family: Small nucleolar RNAs (snoRNAs) are involved in the processing and modification of rRNA in the nucleolus. There are two main classes of snoRNAs: the box C/D class, and the box H/ACA class. Lineage: Eukaryota; Viridiplantae; Streptophyta; Magnoliopsida; Poales; Poaceae. The record is from Rfam by way of RNAcentral.
ACGAUCUUACUUGAACAGGAUCUGUUCUAUAGGAGGAUACCGUUGCAUCCUUGAUUAAUAAGGAGGCAAGCACUUAAGCCUGGUUGAUGAGUCAUGACCUGUGGGCCAGGGGUGGCUUACAGGUUGUCUGACAGGCU